AACGAACGCUGGCGGCAUGCCUAACACAUGCAAGUCGAACGAGACCUUCGGGUCUAGUGGCGCACGGGUGCGUAACGCGUGGGAAUCUGCCCCUCGGUUCGGAAUAACAGUGAGAAAUUGCUGCUAAUACCGGAUAAUGACUUCGGUCCAAAGAUUUAUUGCCGAGGGAUGAGCCCGCGUAGGAUUAGCUAGUUGGUGGGGUAAUGGCCUACCAAGGCGACGAUCCUUAGCUGGUCUGAGAGGAUGAUCAGCCACACUGGGACUGAGACACGGCCCAGACUCCUACGGGAGGCAGCAGUGGGGAAUAUUGGACAAUGGGCGAAAGCCUGAUCCAGCAAUGCCGCGUGAGUGAUGAAGGCCUUAGGGUUGUAAAGCUCUUUUACCCGGGAUGAUAAUGACAGUACCGGGAGAAUAAGCUCCGGCUAACUCCGUG
This 433-nucleotide ribosomal RNA is filed under the name uncultured bacterium. Its description in RNAcentral is "bacterial SSU rRNA". It matches the Rfam family "Bacterial small subunit ribosomal RNA", at positions 29 to 507 of the family's 1533-position model. The record is from RNAcentral.